Long non-coding RNA from Tupaia belangeri chinensis (Chinese tree shrew), 712 nucleotides. RefSeq lists it as uncharacterized. The transcript has 4 exons. NCBI's taxonomy places the organism in Eukaryota, Metazoa, Chordata, Mammalia, Scandentia, Tupaiidae. The record is from RefSeq and is a predicted model, not a curated record.
UUUUAAAGCAUCCUGGAACAUACACUCAGAACAACUUCCUUCUGGUCCACAUGAUAUGGGAACGGCAAAUGCUACCCGUAGAAAAUGCCAGUUUGACUUCACUUUUGCAAUAGGUUUGGGACAGAGUUAGAGCUACAGAUGUUCCACAAAUGUGCAUAAAUGAAGACAUGAGCCAAAUGACGUAUCAGUAUUCACUAUGCGGCUGAAUGAAUGAAGAUCGUCCCUGCCCCGACAAGAGUUUUCUCGGGACUCAAAUUUAGACAGCAGACAGUAAUGGCAAGGUCUGGGAGAGAAACGUACAAGAUGAGCUGAGACUUCUUGUCCAGCCUUGAAGAAUAAAGUUAUUGAGACUGCUCCGUCCUGUCGGAGGCACCUGACAAAGGCGAAAGAAUUCGAGUGUCUAAAAAUAAAUAAGGAUGGCAAUAAACCCGAUCAGAAUGAAUAUAUAAAGAUAUUUGCACCAGCACCGAACACCAGCAACACGUUAAACCGGGCAACCUGUAAGAUGGGGGUCGUGCAGACUGAGCAUCCUAUUAAGAGCAGCUGACCAUGUUUCAAAACAAGAGGAGUCCUUCUGGGACAAAUUGGCAAGAGGAAGCUCCUAGGAUACUACGAGAGCAUUGUUCUAGUCUCAGAGAAGCCACCGAGGGCACCUAAAUUGCCAAUUUGAUGGGAAAACAUGAUAUAAAUGGCAUUUCAUUGUUCUAUCUUC